This 253-nucleotide ribosomal RNA is filed under the name uncultured bacterium. Its description in RNAcentral is "partial 16S ribosomal RNA". It matches the Rfam family "Bacterial small subunit ribosomal RNA", at positions 524 to 776 of the family's 1533-position model. The record is from RNAcentral.
UACAGCGGUCUCAAGCGUUGUUCGGAUUCACUGGGCGUAAAGGGUGCGUAGGUGGCCAGGUAAGUUCGAUGUGAAAUCUCCGGGCUUAACCCGGAAAGUGCAUUGAAUACUAUCUGGCUAGAGGGUUGGAGGGGGGACUGGAAUUCUCGGUGUAGCAGUGAAAUGCGUAGAUAUCGAGAGGAACACCAGUGGCGAAGGCGAGUCCCUGGACAACUCCUGACACUGAGGCACGAAAGCUAGGGGAGCAAACAGG